RNAcentral lists this ribosomal RNA (387 nucleotides) under Solegnathus spinosissimus (spiny pipehorse). Its description in RNAcentral is "partial 12S ribosomal RNA". It matches the Rfam family "Bacterial small subunit ribosomal RNA", at positions 794 to 1383 of the family's 1533-position model. The record is from RNAcentral. Lineage: Eukaryota; Metazoa; Chordata; Actinopteri; Syngnathiformes; Syngnathidae.
GCGUAGCCGUAAACCUUGAUAAUAAGCUUACCCCCACAUCCGCCCGGGUACUACAAGUACCAACUUGAAACCCAAAGGACUUGGCGGUGCUUUAGACCCCCCUAGAGGAGCCUGUUCUAGAACUGAUAAUCCCCGUUAAACCUCACCCUCCCUUGUCAUUCCCGCCUAUAUACCGCCGUCGUCAGCUUACCCUGUGAGGGUCUUAUCGUGAGCACAACUGGCACAGCCUUAAACGUCAGGUCGAGGUGUAGUAGAUGGGAGGGGAAGAAAUGGGCUACAUUCGUCUACUGACGAACAACGAAUGAUCUAUUGAAAACAUUUAUCUAAAGGAGGAUUUAGCAGUAAAAAGGAAAUAGAGUGUCCUUUUGAAACUGGCCCUGAAGCGCG